Molecule: non-coding RNA, 21 nt
Organism: Caenorhabditis elegans
Lineage: Eukaryota; Metazoa; Nematoda; Chromadorea; Rhabditida; Rhabditidae
Source: Ensembl
UUUGCGUACAUAUUGCCAGUG